AAUAAUAAAAUGCUCCGCAGGGCGCAGCUUGAUACGACCGCAGAGGUCGAACCCUGAACAGUUGGGGCAAGUAUGGACACAACAUUCAAGCUUGAUACAGCUCUGAAUUUGGAUUGUGAUUAAAUAUUUGACACAGCAUAGGUUUCUGACACAGAAUGAAUGUGGUCUAAGAACUUGAAAAUUUUAAAUUGGACAUUCACCUAUUAUGGUCCAAUAUCCAAAAUCUAAAUACAUGGUUAGAUUCAGCAUAUCAAAGAACCCCAAGAAUUCAAUUUUUGAUGAAAUCAAACAAAGUUUAAUUUUGGACCCUUUUGACCUCAAUGUGGACAAAGUUGACAACGGGGCCCAAAAAUCAAAAAUCUAAAUACAUGGUUAGAUUCAGCAUAUCAAAGAACCCCAUAUAUUCAAUUUUUGUUGAAAUCAAACAAAGUUUAAUUUUGAUCACCGAUUUGGACCAACUUGAAAACUGGGCCCAUAAUCAAAAAUCUAAAUACAUGUUUAGAUUCAGCAUAUCAAAGAACCCUAAGAAUACAAUUUUUGUUAAAAUCAAACUUAGUUUAAUUUUGGACCCUUUGGACCUUAAUGUAGACCAAUUUGAAAACGGAACCUAAAAUUAAGAAUCUAAAUACACGGUUAGAUUCGGCAUAUCAAAGAACCCUAAUAAUUCAAUUUUUGAUGAAA
This is a long non-coding RNA of Mytilus californianus (California mussel), 681 nucleotides long. RefSeq lists it as uncharacterized. The record is from RefSeq and is a predicted model, not a curated record. The transcript has 2 exons. Lineage: Eukaryota; Metazoa; Mollusca; Bivalvia; Mytilida; Mytilidae.